Molecule: ribosomal RNA, 496 nt
Filed under: uncultured bacterium
Lineage: Bacteria
Description: partial 16S ribosomal RNA
Rfam family: Bacterial small subunit ribosomal RNA
Source: RNAcentral
GAUGAACGCUGGCGGCGUGCCUAAUACAUGCAAGUCGAGCGAACAGACGAGGAGCUUGCUCCUCUGACGUUAGCGGCGGACGGGUGAGUAACACGUGGAUAACCUACCUAUAAGACUGGGAUAACUUCGGGAAACCGGAGCUAAUACCGGAUAAUAUAUUGAACCGCAUGGUUCAAUAGUGAAAGACGGUUUUGCUGUCACUUAUAGAUGGAUCCGCGCCGCAUUAGCUAGUUGGUAAGGUAACGGCUUACCAAGGCAACGAUGCGUAGCCGACCUGAGAGGGGAAUCGGCCCCCCGGGAACGAAGAACCGGCCCAGACCCCUCGGGGAGGCAGCAGGGGGGAAUCUUCCGAAAGGGGCGAAAGCCUGACGGAGCAACGCCGCGUGAGUGAUGAAGGUCUUCGGAUCGUAAAACUCUGUUUUUAGGGAAAAACAAAUGUGUAAGUAACUAUGCCCGUCUGGACGGUACCUAAUCAGAAAGCCCCGGCUAACUACGU